GUUCCUCUCACCAUGGUAGGUCCCUAGGAUACUUACGGAACCUGAGCAUGUGUCCCCCAAAACAAUGUUUACACUGUGGACAGUGUGAGGCUAUAAAACAACCCUAAGAGCAUGUUCUGACGUGAGAACGUGGAGUUCACGAAGAGACUGGCCCUAGUGAGUAAUGACUGCUCACCCUCACCUGAGGUCUGCCUAUCACCCAGAGGGCAAGAGGCAAGAAGACAGAGUGCACUGUGGCCUCAGACAGCAAGCGUGGAAUUCCCUUUAACGACAGGAUUCUCUCCUCCCUCUGUCACUACUGUUGCUGAACUUCCCAUUUAGAUUUCAGAUUAUUACGAAAUGCCGCAACAGGAAGCAGCCUCCAGGGCAGGGUUUGAUGGAAUUCUUAUGACAGGAUGCUGCAAUUCCUCCUCCAAGAGCCCCUUCUGCCCAGCUGCCCUGAGACAUUAAAGAAACCAGUUUCCUUGGCUGUAAUUGUUGGGUUGUGUCUCUUGUGUAUCAUGAGGGGAAGGCUGUCCUCCCCAGAGAUCAAGGGUAAACGCUGUGCAAAAUCCAGUCCAGACCAGAAAAAAAAGAAAAAAGGGCAUCACAGUUAGGACUUGUUUCUUGGCUCAUUCCAGGAAAGAACUAAUGUUGCUGAUGAGUUCUGUGGACCUGGACAUGUGUCCUGCUUGAGAGUCAGUGACGGGCCACCGUGCAGUGCUGAUGAGACAAAAUCAUCCCCUGAACACUUAGUGGGCCGCUGAGAGUAUUGUCACAACACCCACCAAGUUUCCAGGAUGCACCCUUGAGACACCCACCUGGCCAGAAGGCAAGGCUUAGGCAAAGAAAUUAAACCAAAGUCGAGCCAACACAGCUUAACGUCUGGUAGAAAUAUAUCCCUCAGGGCUCUCUGGUGACCCAGUUCCCACAAGCCUGUGAUGCCCGUCUUGACCACAUCCCACUGGAGACAGGUGGAGAAUGGGAGGAUUAGGGUAGAUAAAUCUACUGGGUUUGGAAAUCAUCUCAUGGUGUUUAAAUCCCCAAACUAUUAAAUUCCCGUUGAAUUAAAGUGUCUGUGUUUGGAGAAACAAAACCAAUUACGUCGUCACUCUCAGUUAUGAAAUUUUAGCUUUAUAUUUAUGAAAUGUCUUUUCGUUGAAAUAUUUUCUUUGGCAAUUGAUAAGCCUUUAUGAGAAGGGAAACUAUUCUUGCCUGUUAAUUUUUACCCCAUGUUCUUUCUUAAAGACUCUGGACAGGCCUUGGCUUAGUAAUUCUACCCAAAAAUAUUAAGUGUUCAGGUUUGUGAGAAUAAAGUCUUGUUAAUUAUUAACUCCUCUAAAACAUUCUUAUCCCCCAGAACUAUUCACUCCUUAACCCACACAUAUGCACCAGAAGCAAAAGCAAGCUCAAAUAUUACACGUCAUCAAAUCAGCUCACUUCAACUUGGCUUCUAUAGUCAGAUACCGUGGUCUUCUGUAGUAACUGAAAGAGGCUAUCUUGCUAAUUCUGAGAGUCUUUGUUAACAAAGAUGCUGGCUGGGCGUGGUGGCUCAUGCCUGUAAUCCCAGCACUUCGGGAGGCCGAGAUGAGUAGAUGGCUUGAGGUUAGGAAUUCGAGACCAGCCUGGCCAACAUGGUGAAACCCCAUCUCUAUGAAAUAAAAUACUAAAAUUAACUGAACGUGGUGUUGCGUGCCUGUAAUCCCAGCUACUUGGGAGGCUGAGGCAGGAGAAUCACUUGAGCCCAGGAGGUGGAGUUUGCAGUGAGCUAAGAUCACAUCACUAUACUCCAGCUUGGGUGACAGAGCAAGACUUCAUCUCAAAAAAAAAAAAAAAAAAAAA
Molecule: long non-coding RNA, 1821 nt
Organism: Macaca fascicularis (crab-eating macaque)
Lineage: Eukaryota; Metazoa; Chordata; Mammalia; Primates; Cercopithecidae
Source: Ensembl